GUCCUGCAGUGCUUCCCAAACAAACAUCCAAAAACUUCUAGGAGGUUUUUCAGUAUAACGGUUGCACCCAUAAAUCUUUUGCCUGGUAGGUAUACUGCUUUCAUGGAUGCCAUUUUUCAGCGAGACAGAAAGUUGUCGUGCAAUCCCUUCAACUCCGCCAUUGGCUCUCAAAGCCUUAAUAUCAUGGUCACGAGCAACAGAUGCAAGUUUAUCAGGUUCAAUUCCAAAACCUGCUUGUCUGACGUCAUCUGAAAGCUUGUGUUCAGCUGGCAAACCACCGGCUGCAGCAACUGCUAUAGCAGCAUCAAUGAACUGCAGAGCUGCUUUGUUGACAUACAAAGCAACUCGAAUCUUUUCCUGGAUGCUCCGUUUUUUCUUCUCGGCC
This 385-nucleotide unclassified non-coding RNA is filed under the name Hevea brasiliensis (rubber tree). The record is from RNAcentral. Lineage: Eukaryota; Viridiplantae; Streptophyta; Magnoliopsida; Malpighiales; Euphorbiaceae.